Molecule: transfer RNA, 77 nt
Filed under: Clostridiales bacterium
Lineage: Bacteria; Bacillati; Bacillota; Clostridia; Eubacteriales
Also listed under: 1 other name
Description: tRNA-His
Rfam family: tRNA
About the family: Transfer RNA (tRNA) molecules are approximately 80 nucleotides in length. Their secondary structure includes four short double-helical elements and three loops (D, anti-codon, and T loops).
Source: RNAcentral
GUGGGCUUAGCUCAGCUGGUUAGAGUGCCAGAUUGUGACUCUGGAGGUCAUGGGUUCGAUUCCCAUAGCUCACCCCA